Molecule: long non-coding RNA, 2644 nt
Filed under: Mus musculus (house mouse)
Lineage: Eukaryota; Metazoa; Chordata; Mammalia; Rodentia; Muridae
Description: long non-coding RNA chr5:14599918-14602562
Source: RNAcentral
UACAGAAGAGUAUGAGUCUCUGGAUGUUCCUUUUGGUACCCAAGCAAUACACACUGUGAUUGACAGCUUCUUAGUUGGCUUCAUUGAGGAAGUCUAUUUUCUCCUUAAAGAAUACCAAGUAAAUUUUCAAAAUUACCUUCAGUAUUCGUGAGAAUAUCAUUUAUUGAAAAUACACAUUAGGUAUGAUGGCACACACCUCUAAUGCCAGUACUUGAAAAGAGGAAGCAAAACAAAAAAGAGAAAUACUGCAUUUGCUUAAAAUCUCCAAAGUUUACUAGUGUUGAUAUAGUGUGGCCUUAAUUUACCUGGGCCAUAAUUGUUUUCGAAUUGUUAGAAGUCCGUAGUCAUGAGAUGAUUCAACAGGGGUUUCUUCUGAGUUAUAAAAUAGGGCCUUGAGAUGGUGAUCUUAUUUGCCAAGUAGACUGUUUGUGUUUGAUUUUCAUUUUGUUUUGUUUUGUUUUGUUUUGUUUUGUUUUUGAAUUGACUGAAAGGCAAGCUAACGAGAAAUCCUGUGAAGGAUUUUCUUUCUUUUUUUUUAAUCUUUUUCUUUUUUCUUUUUUUAUUAGAUAUUUUCUUUAUUUACAUUUCAAAUGUUAUCCCUUUUCCUAAUUUCCCCUCUUAAGAUACUUUACAUGGGGAGACAUACUCUAAGUGUGAGCAGCAUCUGCCAGUGGCAACCUACAUACGAGGGAAUUGGAAGAAGGAAGCUUUGCUUUUUGCCUUUACUCUCAGUGCAAGUUUAUGUACUGUGUUGCAGGCUCAUUCCAUCACUGGAAUCAUAAACAGGUUUCAUUAACCUUCAGAUCUAGACUGGCUCUCCAGGAAUCCUCCAAGACUUCAUUGUAAGAUGAGGACCUCUAAUCCAUCCUAAUGGAAUGAACAGCUACUACAUUCAUGGUUUCAUUUUGGACUACCCAGAAAUAAUGUACAAGCUAUAUAAACCCCCUAUAAUAUAUGUGUGUUCUAUCAAUUCUAUUCCCCUAUAGAAAUGUGACUAGUGCAAUCAUUUAAGUGAUCUCUUUAAGGUUUUCUCUACACUGAGUCAACAACUCAAGGAAGCCAGUAACUUAAGUAUCAAUGAGCAAGCUCAGGACAGAGUCCUCAGUGAUUUGAACAUAUAACAAAGAUCUGUAACAGCCCAGUCAUACAGUGAUCUGAAAUUUUUUAUUAGGUAUUUUCUUCAUUUACAUUUCCAAUGCUAUCCCAAAAGUCUACCAUGCCCUGCCCCCCCCCCCCCACUUCUUGGCCCUGGCAUUCCCCUGUACUGAGGCAUAUAAAGUUUGCAAGACCAAUGGGCCUCUCUUUCCACUGAUGGCCGACUAGGCCAUCUGAAAUUUAAGUUCUAAGUAAAUGUAAGAGCUCAAGUCAGAUACAUAUAAAAACAGCAAAUAAUGUAGUAUACAUUUUUGCAGUUUGAGUGAUAAGUCCCGUCAAAUUUAGAAAGCCAAGGCAUCAGAAAAUAGACAUUUAUCCUGAUUAUAUAUAUAUGAUUUAUAUUCAUUAUACAUUAGAUUUAUAUGAGUGAAAUAUAUAUAUAUAUAUAUAUAUAGAGAGAGAGAGAGAGAGAGAGAGAGACAUGUAUAUAUACAUAUGAUAGAUUACUACUUAAAGCCACAUAUUUUGAGAAUAAACAUAAUGGACUUAUAUCAUGAAUCUGCAUAAUUACAUAUGAUUUCGAACAAUUUUUAAUUUUUUUGAAUGCUCAUACCUACAGUCAGCAGAAGUAUUCAAAUGAGAUAGUGGAUUUAUGCACUUAAUAUUGUACUUGGGAAGCAAUAUACCCUAGAUAAAUAUACACUAUUAGUACCUGUCCUAAAAACACAUAAGACCAUAUUAGGUUAUAUAUAUUUUGUAGGUUUUAUAAUAAUCUUUUUAUUAUCAUUAAUAUGAGCCCCAAUUAAAAUGGAUUUUGAAGUCAAUAUGCAAAUAAAAUUGACAAUGAUAAUAUAAAAUAUCUUCAGUGUCUUCGAAAUCAAUAAAAAUUCAUGCACAGUGUAAGAUGAAAGAGCUCAUUUUACUUUCUCUUUCUGCAAGUGCAUUUAUAGAGUGGGUAGCAGAUAUAACAUUAUCUUUAUACUCAGGCAUGGUUAGUGAUGCUGGCAAAUAUCAUUGCUGUGUAUGUAUAUAUACAUAUAUUUACUGUUGGUAAUGAUAAACAAUUCCUCACAGCCAUUUUGAUGCUGAGCAAAUGAUCAAGUAAAGAGAUAUUACCCUUUCCAAAAAGGUGGCAGUGUUAUCAUGAAAAAAUAAUGUGAUGUAUGUAAAAUAAAUAUUUUGUAAUUUUUUCCUAUAUUUUGUGAUUUAGGGUAUAUAUAUAUAUAUUUGCUUUGUGUUCCUAGUACAAUAUAGUAUCUCUCAAAUAUUAAAAAAAAAAAAAGACUAGAACAUUAGACCUAUCUGAUACAUUUAAGAACAACUAUUUAUUUCCUUAGUGGUACUUAGAUCAGUUUGUUGUAUCAUAUUGAUUUUUCCUCUUAUUUUAAAAUUUAUCACUUCUGGGUAAAAUACAGCAACCCUCUUAAUGGCCGGUAUUUGUGAACUAGGUAAAGCACUGAGUGGAAGACAUGCCAAUGAUAGCCACAACUUUGGUUUAAAAAUUGUUUGUUAACCAUGACACUUAAGUUAUAAAUAUACAUUGGAACAU